RNAcentral lists this ribosomal RNA (373 nucleotides) under uncultured organism. RNAcentral describes it as "partial 16S ribosomal RNA". It matches the Rfam family "Bacterial small subunit ribosomal RNA", at positions 526 to 896 of the family's 1533-position model. The record is from RNAcentral.
GGAGGGGUGCAAGCGUUAUUCGGAAUCACUGGGCGUAAAGAGCGCGUAGGCGGUUUCUAAAGUCAGAUGUGAAAGCCCCGGGGCUCAACCCCGGAAGUGCAUUUGAAACUUAGGGACUUGAGUAUGGGAGAGGGAAGUGGAAUUCCUGGUGUAGCGGUGAAAUGCGUAGAUAUCAGGAGGAACACCGGUGGCGAAGGCGACUUCCUGGACCAAUACUGACGCUGAGGCGCGAAGGCGUGGGGAGCAAACAGGAUUAGAUACCCUGGUAGUCCACGCAGUAAACGUUGAACACUAGGUGUAGCGGGUAUUGACCCCUGCUGUGCCGCAGCUAACGCAUUAAGUGUUCCGCCUGGGGAGUACGGCCGCAAGGCUA